GGUAAUAGCUCAGUGGCAGAGGACGUGCUUAGCAUGCUUGAGUCCUGGGUUCAAUCCCCAGUACUGCCA
Molecule: transfer RNA, 69 nt
Filed under: Camelus bactrianus (Bactrian camel)
Lineage: Eukaryota; Metazoa; Chordata; Mammalia; Artiodactyla; Camelidae
Also listed under: 2 other names
Rfam family: tRNA
About the family: Transfer RNA (tRNA) molecules are approximately 80 nucleotides in length.
Source: Rfam by way of RNAcentral